RNAcentral lists this ribosomal RNA (540 nucleotides) under Microbacterium resistens. RNAcentral describes it as "bacterial SSU rRNA". It matches the Rfam family "Bacterial small subunit ribosomal RNA", at positions 927 to 1465 of the family's 1533-position model. The record is from RNAcentral. Lineage: Bacteria; Bacillati; Actinomycetota; Actinomycetes; Micrococcales; Microbacteriaceae.
AAGCGGCGGAGCAUGCGGAUUAAUUCGAUGCAACGCGAAGAACCUUACCAAGGCUUGACAUACACGAGAACGGGCCAGAAAUGGUCAACUCUUUGGACACUCGUGAACAGGUGGUGCAUGGUUGUCGUCAGCUCGUGUCGUGAGAUGUUGGGUUAAGUCCCGCAACGAGCGCAACCCUCGUUCUAUGUUGCCAGCACGUUAUGGUGGGAACUCAUGGGAUACUGCCGGGGUCAACUCGGAGGAAGGUGGGGAUGACGUCAAAUCAUCAUGCCCCUUAUGUCUUGGGCUUCACGCAUGCUACAAUGGCCGGUACAAAGGGCUGCAAUACCGUGAGGUGGAGCGAAUCCCAAAAAGCCGGUCCCAGUUCGGAUUGAGGUCUGCAACUCGACCUCAUGAAGUCGGAGUCGCUAGUAAUCGCAGAUCAGCAACGCUGCGGUGAAUACGUUCCCGGGUCUUGUACACACCGCCCGUCAAGUCAUGAAAGUCGGUAACACCUGAAGCCGGUGGCCUAACCCUUGUGGAGGGAGCCGUCGAAGGUGG